AGUGAACGCUGGCGGCGUGCUUAACACAUGCAAGUCGAACGAGAACGGAUUAUAGCUUGCUAUAAUUGUCAGCUAAGUGGCGCACGGGUGAGUAAUGUAUAGAUAACCUGCCCUCUAGAAAGGAAUAACAGUUGGAAACGACUGCUAAUGCCCUAUAUGCCUUUAAUACAUAAGUAUGCAAGGGAAACGCUUUAGUGCUAGAGGAUGGGUCUGUAUGGUAUCAGCUUGUUGGUGAGGUAAUGGCUCACCAAGGCUAUGACGCCUAACUGGUUUGAGAGUAUGAUCAGUCACACUGGAACUGAGACACGGUCCAGACUCCUACGGGAGGCAGCAGUGGGGAAUAUUGCACAAUGGACGAAAGUCUGAUGCAGCAACGCCGCGUGGAGGAUGACACAUUUCGGUGCGUAAACUCCUUUUAUAUAGGAAGAUAAUGACGGUACUAUAUGAAUAAGCACCGGCUAACUCCGUGCCAGCCGCCGCAGUAA
RNAcentral lists this ribosomal RNA (485 nucleotides) under uncultured bacterium. RNAcentral's name for it is "partial 16S ribosomal RNA". It matches the Rfam family "Bacterial small subunit ribosomal RNA", at positions 29 to 523 of the family's 1533-position model. The record is from RNAcentral.